This 324-nucleotide ribosomal RNA is filed under the name Euglypha sp. (in: cercozoans). Its description in RNAcentral is "SSU rRNA". The stretch from base 109 to 324 matches the Rfam family "Eukaryotic small subunit ribosomal RNA", at positions 738 to 955 of the family's 1831-position model. Lineage: Eukaryota; Cercozoa; Imbricatea; Euglyphida; Euglyphidae. The record is from RNAcentral.
GAUUUCUGACGAACCGGAGUGGCCCGUUUCCUUUCUGGGAAUGAGUGCCGCUUUGAGUUUGUCAUCCUUCCAGAGAGCUGCGUCUACCGUUUACUCGGCCGGACGUAUGCGAUCUGGAUCUAUUACUUUGAAAAAAUUAGAGUGUUUAAAGCAGGCUUAUGCUAUGAAUACAUUAGCAUGGAAUAAUAAUUUAGGACUUUGGUUCUAUUUUGUUGGUUUCUAGGACUGAAGUAAUGAUUGAUAGGGAUAGUUGGGGGUGCUAGUAUUCCGCGGCCAGAGGUGAAAUUCUUGGAUUCGUGGAAGACUAACUACUGCGAAAGCAUU